UACAUACUGGUGUCAAUAAGCUUGCAGACCUCGUUGGAGUCACUCUCGGUCCGAAGGGUAGAAAUGUUGUUUAGGAGAGCAAAUAUGGAUCACCAAAACUUGUUAACGAUGGUGUUACUGGAGCCAAAGAGGUCGAAUUAGAAGAUCCUGUUGAGAACAUCGGAGCUAAGUUAGUAAGGCAAGCUGCUGCAAAGACAAAUGAUCUCGCUGGGGAUGGAACGACUACUUCCGUCGUUCUUGCUCAAGGUUUGAUUGCUGAGGGUGUUAAGGUUGUUGCAGCAGGUUCCAAUCCAAUUCAGAUUACGAGAGGGAUUGAGAAAACAACCAAAGCCCUAGUGGCUGAACUGAAGCUAAUGUCAAAAGAGG
This is a long non-coding RNA of Musa acuminata AAA Group (dessert banana), 366 nucleotides long. RefSeq lists it as uncharacterized. The record is from RefSeq and is a predicted model, not a curated record. The transcript has 3 exons. Lineage: Eukaryota; Viridiplantae; Streptophyta; Magnoliopsida; Zingiberales; Musaceae.